UUUAAUUGAAGAGUUUGAUCAUGGCUCAGAUUGAACGCUGGCGGCAGGCCUAACACAUGCAAGUCGAGCGGCAGCGACUUAACUGAACCUUCGGGGAACGU
RNAcentral lists this ribosomal RNA (101 nucleotides) under Photobacterium leiognathi subsp. mandapamensis. RNAcentral describes it as "partial 16S ribosomal RNA". Lineage: Bacteria; Pseudomonadati; Pseudomonadota; Gammaproteobacteria; Vibrionales; Vibrionaceae. The record is from RNAcentral.